This 2679-nucleotide long non-coding RNA is filed under the name Rosa chinensis. RNAcentral describes it as "sRNA RchiOBHm_Chr1g0350961". The record is from RNAcentral. Lineage: Eukaryota; Viridiplantae; Streptophyta; Magnoliopsida; Rosales; Rosaceae.
CGUUCAGCGCGGCGGAUAGAAAUUUUAUUGACUCGUUGCGUCCGUCUGCCCGUGCAGGAACCUCACUGCCAAAACCGCUAGAGGUCAAGCCGCUACAGACCAUUCCGUGGGACGUAGAUAUGGGUCGUGCAUCGCGUCCGGAGAGUUCUAGGGUGGGGGAGGCUGCCGCUGCACAUACUUUGCACGAAGAGCGGCUAGAAAGCAAUAGUGCCGCCAGCGGUUCCGCUGGCAGGGGAGGUGUAGCGGGAGAGGAUACCGAGUCGGCGUGGGUGUUCAAGGACGGCACCCCUGUUAACGAGGCGGGAGGUAGGAUGACCGCUGUUUCCGUCAACCGGCUGAAGCGAGUGUUCCGGUUGCCCGGUGUGGUGAAGCUGCGUCCGCCGACGGUAGAGGAGAAGGCUUCGAUCCUGCCAGUGGGCCACGCCGCGGUGCACGAGGCUAUAUUCCGCGAGGGAGUGACCUUGCCGCUGGUGCCCAACCUACAGAUCCUGGUGUGCGAGUUUGGCAUCGCCUUUGGGCAAGUAUGCCCCAACAUGUUGCGGUUACUGCUGGCGCUGAACUCGUUGUGGCGGUUGUCUGGUUGUGAAGGACCAACCGUGGCGGAGGUAUUACAUUUCUAUGAACUGGUGUACGUGAAGCGCCAGGGUUAUAGAGGGCAAGUAAACCUCAGUCGUCGUCAAGGAGCGCCCAAGCAAAUCGAGAACCUGAGGGACUCAAUGUCCUACUGGCGAGGGAUUUUCUGUAUUGCCACGGCGGGGUGGGAAUACCAAGCGGGGUCCAACGAGGGGAGCCGACGUUUAGGAUUAAGUCGGAGUUUCAGCCCAUCCGAGGUUGUUUGCCGUUUCCGCCGAACACGAUUGGCGGGGUUUUUUUUUUUUUUUUUGUACUCGUACUUGUACUGAUAAUGACCUUUCUUGUGCAGCGGGGUUGCGGUACAGCCUAACUCGUGGGGAAGAGUGCCGCGUAGCACGCAUCAGGGGCUGCUGGCGGAAUCGCAACUUACUGGACUUCCGUCUCCUGACCGGGUGGGAGUUGUUGGUAGCUCAAUAACUGACGCAUGCCGUUGGUAAGUAAUCUCCGCUGUACGGCACCUUUUGUGAGGUUGCCUCAUGCUAACUGGCCUACCACUAUCUUUGCAGAGACUCUGCCGGGAAACAAGGCUAGCCUUGACGCUUUUGCAAAAGCCAUGGACCGCGCUGAAAUCAACAACUUCCUGGAAGCCAUGUAUGCUUCAGGGAUGGCAGCGCAUAAGGCGGUGGUGGACCCAGAGACACUGGUGCUGAGCCAGUCAGAGGUUCCUGUGGUGCUGCCCAUGCCGCACCACUCUCACCUUGGUGGUGACGGGCUGCCUGCCGUUCAGGCGGGGACCGACACGGUGAGUGAGGCGGCUCCGCGGAAAGAGAGAGAGUCGGCCCUGCGGAGCGGAGUGCCAAAGAAAGCAGUGCGCCCCACUGAGGGUGUUACCAUAGCAGGGUUGGAGCCGCCGACGGGGGGUUCGAGGCCUGCCGUUGCUGGAAGCACGCGGGUGCUUCAGCGAAAACGCCGUCAGCCGGACUCGGGCGGGGAAGAGGAGGAAGUGGAGGUGACAGGGGCCCGCGAGCAGCCGAAGAAGUCGAGGCAGGCUCCGCCCGAGGCUGUCGCUGACGUGGCGAAAGAGGUGGGUACAAGCGGCUUGGACUCAUUUUCCGCCUACGCCGAGUUCCUCAACGACGGUAAGCGGGACUUCCUGUAUCACCUUUGCGAGCGGCUGGGGUUCGGCGGCUUGGAAGGGAUUGUUCGGUCAACCGCCAUCAGCGAGUCGCCCUUCAGCACAGCCUUUGGGCACGUCAUCGUUGGGCUGCAUGAGAUGUUCCAGGCAGCGUCAAAACAACCCCUGGUUGAGCGGGAGCUCAGGGAGGAGGUGGCGGGGCUACAGAGGGACUUGGGGAAGACACGGGAACAGUUGGCUGACGUCGAGCGAUGCUUGACGAAGGCCGACUGCGAUGCGACAGACGCCCGUGGCAAGCUAAACGUUGCCAUUGAGCGGCACUUAGAGCGGAACGAACAGUUCGCCAAGUUGGAGGAAGACAUGUCCCUGCUGCGGGAUCGGGUGGCCGCCAAGGAUAAGAAGGUUGAGAUCCUUCAGAGGGAGUCCGCCGCCAAACAGGCAGAGGUUAAGCGGCUGGAAGGUGAGUUCGCUCGCCUGGAGGCUGAGGGGAGCCGUGCUGCAGCCGCUGCUGUUGAGUCGUACAAGAAGUCAGCGGAGUACAAGAAGGCGCUGACUGAAGCGGCGAAGGUUGGUGCCCUGGCCAACGUGGAGAUGUUGCAGCAGAAGGGCGCCAUCGACUGGGCGAAAGCGUCGAUGCCAGUCGUGCAGGCAACUAAGGGAGCUCCGCCGUCAACAAGUACCGCUCCUCCUGCUGCCCCUGGUUGUGUUGGAGUCUGCUCGGGUAGCGGGGAGAGUGGCAAGCUUCCAAAAGGCGACUCUCAGUGGACGCCUUCGCAGUCCUAGGUGUCCCGCGCUGGGUUCUUGGCGGCCCACGCCCUAGCGGAUGGCACAAUGGAGACCCCCAGUCCCACAGCCCGAGGGUCAGACCAGACGAGCCGCUCCCAUCCACCGCAGGCCGCCAGUGGAAUUGCCGAGGGUAGCGGAGCCGACCUCGCCAACCCUGCCAACCCCGCUAACCCCGCCAACCCCGC